CUACGUGCCAGCAGCCGCGGUAAUACGGAGGAUGCGAGCGUUAUCCGGAUUUAUUGGGUUUAAAGGGUGCGUAGGCGGCCUGUUAAGUCAGUGGUGAAAGUUUGUCGCUCAACGAUAAAAUUGCCGUUGAAACUGGUGGUCUUGAGUAUGGAUGAAGUAGGCGGAAUGCGUGGUGUAGCGGUGAAAUGCAUAGAGAUCACGCAGAACUCCGAUUGCGAAGGCAGCUUACUAAGGCAUAACUGACACUGAAGCACGAAAGCGUGGGUAUCAAACAGGAUUAGAUACCCUGGUAGUCCACGCAGUAAACGAUGAUUACUAGGAGUUUGCGAUAUAGUGUAAGCUCUACAGCGAAAGCGUUAAGUAAUCCACCUGGGGAGUACGCCGGCAACGGUGAAACUCAAAGGAAUUGACGGGGGCCCGCACAAGCGGAGGAACAUGUGGUUUAAUUCGAUGAUACGCGAGGAACCUUACCCGGGAUUGAAAU
Molecule: ribosomal RNA, 484 nt
Filed under: uncultured bacterium
Lineage: Bacteria
Description: bacterial SSU rRNA
Rfam family: Bacterial small subunit ribosomal RNA
Source: RNAcentral